GGCGCGUUGGCAGAGUGGUUAUGCAGCGGAUUGCAAAUCCGUAUAGCUCGGUUCAACUCCGAGACGCGUCU
This 71-nucleotide transfer RNA is filed under the name Candidatus Blochmannia castaneus (nom. nud.). Its description in RNAcentral is "Candidatus Blochmannia castaneus tRNA-Cys". It matches the Rfam family "tRNA". From Rfam's summary of the family: Transfer RNA (tRNA) molecules are approximately 80 nucleotides in length. Their secondary structure includes four short double-helical elements and three loops (D, anti-codon, and T loops). Lineage: Bacteria; Pseudomonadati; Pseudomonadota; Gammaproteobacteria; Enterobacterales; Enterobacteriaceae. The record is from RNAcentral.